CGGAUCUUAAAUUGGACCUGUUGGGUUUUUAAGUGAAACCAUGGACGAUACCCAAUGGCCGGAACCGGAGCUGCUAUCAGCAGUGUAACAACUUUGAUGAGGCUUAGAAGUACCGAACCACAGUGCAUUUUUAGCAAAUGGGUUGACAGAGUAGAAAAUGAGGAAGAAAAUAGAUGCGUACUUAAGUUUUGUGGUGGCGAUGAGUAUAUAUAGUGUCCAGUGAUGAGUUUUAUAGGGCACUGAUUUGCAGGGGGAGAUGAAGGACAGUGAGAUUCUU
Molecule: long non-coding RNA, 277 nt
Filed under: Gossypium raimondii (Peruvian cotton)
Lineage: Eukaryota; Viridiplantae; Streptophyta; Magnoliopsida; Malvales; Malvaceae
Description: long non-coding RNA (GRAI_LNC000751)
Source: RNAcentral